UACAGAGGUGACAAACGUUGUCCGGAAUUAUUGGGCGUAAAGGGCGCGUAGGUGGUUGAGUAAGUCAGGUGUGAAAGCUCUGGGCUUAACCCAGGAAUUGCAUCUGAUACUGCUCGGCUUGAGUACGGUAGAGGAGGGUGGAAUUCCCAGUGUAGCGGUGAAAUGCGUAGAUAUUGGGAGGAACACCGGUGGCGAAGGCGGCCCUCUGGACCGAAACUGACGCUGAGGAGCGAAAGCGUGGGGAGCGAACAGG
RNAcentral lists this ribosomal RNA (253 nucleotides) under uncultured bacterium. RNAcentral's name for it is "partial 16S ribosomal RNA". It matches the Rfam family "Bacterial small subunit ribosomal RNA", at positions 524 to 776 of the family's 1533-position model. The record is from RNAcentral.